Molecule: non-coding RNA, 369 nt
Organism: Meleagris gallopavo (turkey)
Lineage: Eukaryota; Metazoa; Chordata; Aves; Galliformes; Phasianidae
Source: RefSeq, a predicted model, not a curated record
AGCCCCCGACCCCGCAGGUGGGCACAAAGCAGGGCCGCGGUGACCCCGCUGUGCGCCCGCCCUCCCCUCGGCACCAGGAUCUCAGCCCCUGCCCGGCCCCACUGCUGCCCCACGCCGACCCCGCUGCACCGAAUGCCUCUGUGGGGCCCCAUGAGCAGCCCCCAUCCGCAGGAGGACCCACCCCACACCCCGAGCCCACCUCCCCCCACCUCGGCUCUGAGAUCCAAUGGACCCCGCACCGCGCGCUCUACGACUUCCGACCCCAAAAUGAUGACGAGUUGGAACUGAGGGAGGGGGACCGCGUGGAUGUGCUGCAGUGCUGCGAUGAUGGCUGGUUUGUGGGUGUGUGGGGGGCAGACAUGGGGGGUG